RNAcentral lists this ribosomal RNA (119 nucleotides) under Callithrix jacchus (white-tufted-ear marmoset). Lineage: Eukaryota; Metazoa; Chordata; Mammalia; Primates; Cebidae. The record is from RNAcentral.
GUCUACAGCCAUACCACCCUGAACACUCCCGAUCUCAUCUGAUCUCGGAAGCUAAGCAGGGUUGGUCCUGGUUAGUACCUGGAUGGGAGACUGCCUGGGAAUACUGGGUGCUGUAGCUU